CCCACAUUCGAUCCCCACUACACCCGAUCGAUCCCAUCGUCCCUCCUCACGCCACCAGGAAGAAACAGAGAGGAGAAAGAGACCCUGCUCCCGAUCCCGCUCACAUGCAUCCUCCUUGCCUUGUUCCGACCACCUCUGCCACCCUGUCGUUGUUCUGGUCGGUGAGCUCCUCACCUCUGGCCCCCUCGCAUCGCCGCCUCCUCCUUCGACCUGCACGGCCGCCGGCCCCACCCCUGCCGCACACCCCAUGUCGCCGGUGGCGCCCGCACUCCGCGCCUCCCAUGGCGCACCAGGCCGUGGCCGGUGCGCGUGGGCGCUCGCCCGCAGCUCGCCACUACUCCUUCGCGCGCCCCUCCGAUGCUGGUCGCCCCUGCCUGACUGUCUCGUCACCAACGGCCCUCGCCUCGUUGGCCACCUCUCCAACCCGCCAAGGCCUCCCCCGAGCUCGUGGACCUUCCCUGUCGCUCGAU
Molecule: ribosomal RNA, 470 nt
Filed under: Triticum aestivum (bread wheat)
Lineage: Eukaryota; Viridiplantae; Streptophyta; Magnoliopsida; Poales; Poaceae
Description: partial small subunit ribosomal RNA
Source: RNAcentral